GUUCUAGUCAUCCUUUUCGUCACUGUGACCAAAAGAACUGACAAGAACAAUUAGAGGAGGAAAAGUUUAUUUGGUCAAGGUUUCACAAGUUAGCCCAUGGUUGGUGGAAUCCAUAACUCCAGGCCCUGGAGGAAGCAAAACAUUAUGGUAGAAGUAUGUGGUGGAAAAAAGCAGUUCAGAACAUGGCCACCAGGAAUCAGAGAAGGGGAGAGAGCACCCUCCAGCACCCCCAAGGCAUGCUAUCAUUGACCUACUUCAUCUGGUCAACCCCUACCUGCCUACAGUUACUACACAGUUAAUCCUUAUCAUUGGAUUAAGGAACUGAUUAGGUUAAGGUUCUCAUAACCCAAUCAUUUUACCUCUAAACUUUCUUGCAUUCACACAUGAGGUUCUUGGGGACACAUCAUAUCUAAAGUGUAUCACCUGAUGUUGGCCCUAUUCAAAUAUGCUUUGUCCUGGGAUGUGAAGACUCCAUGGCACCCAGCCUGAGAACAAUGAGAAUGGUCUCUAGAGUGGAACUAAAGGAGACCAGGCUAAUGGAAAGUGUGUGGAUAAACUGUGCUUUAUUUUGCAAUGGAUGGUUUGGUGUAUUCUUUUUGAUGGAUUUCCUGGUCACUCCAUAUUCAAAUGGAAAGAGAGUCCAGUCUCCAUGUGUUUCAUAACCAAGAAAAACUGGAAGAGAUACAGUUCUGACUUUGGCCCUCAUAUUGGCUAGUUCCACUGUGGAGCAGUGAAGGGACAUGCUCUUUAGGAACCACACAGGCAUGGUAUCCUGGUAUCCCUGCUGCCUGCUGUGUCACUGCUACCACCGCCCAUCUAUAGCCUCUGCUGGACCCUGCAUUGCGGCGACCUAUAUAGCUUCCCUCUUGGGAUCAGCAAAGGGAGAAGGCCAGCUAAGGAUGAGAGGUGAGGCCACACCACCUGCAAUAUAGGGAACAAGCCCUAGUGCCUCUGGAAAGAUGGGGAAGAAAGGGAUGGGUGUCUGUUUGCUACUGCCACAACAUGCUCCCAAUUGUUCAGUUGUCAUUUUACAUUGGUCCACAUCCUGGACUGAUAGUUGCCAACCACUCUGUGUGCAGCCAGGUAGCCAAGUCAGCUGCUGUCAUCCCUGUAGAGACCUGGCAUGCUUGGGAUGUGGUAGUUGCUGCCACUCCUGCAUCCAUGCUGGGACACUUGCCCACAACCUUAAGACUGUUGGAUCUGAUAUAUCU
Molecule: long non-coding RNA, 1211 nt
Filed under: Marmota monax (woodchuck)
Lineage: Eukaryota; Metazoa; Chordata; Mammalia; Rodentia; Sciuridae
Source: RNAcentral